GGGCGCGAGGCGCGGUGCGCGCGAUGCGACGGUACCUCAGGGCGGGCCCGGCUGGAGGUCACACUGGUGCGUCAUUUGUGACUCUCCUCAGCGCUCUUUUUUGGGAUGUCCCCUUUAAGAUCCCAAUGGGAUUGGAAUUCCUUUGUCUUAAGGAGCUGUGGUUUCCAGUGCGAGGUCACUUGCAAAGGGGAAAAGGACUUCCAAGCUUGGACAUAAGCAGAAUUUGUGGUCUUUCUGCCUUCAACAGACUGAAGAAAGAAGUUAACAGCAGUCAAACUUGCUACCCAUAUGGUGGAAACAUCAGGAUUACUGAAUCCAUAGCAAACUCUCGGCUGUAUGGCUGCUACAGGGCCCAUCACCAUGGUAUCCUAGCACCAGCGAGCAUAAUGCCGAUAUCCAUUCAAUAUGAACUGCUGAUGCACAACUCUUUUUAAUAUUAACACAGCUUCGUUAUGUUACUUACCUUUCAUUUCUCUAAUAUCAUACAUUUCUGCUUAAAAAAAACAAAAGGCUUGAAGCUAGGACCAAGCUGUAGAUGGAACCGUUUCUGGAUGGACAAAUGGAAUUAAGCAUCCCAAUGGACUGGGCCUGCCUGUUUCUUGUAGCUGCACCUUAGGGUGGUGUUGAUGCACUUGAGAUGACUUUAUAAAAAAGAAAAACCCAUUGCUGUUUAGCUCCAAUGAGGCAAAGUGCCAUGGGUGGCUGUCUUGUGGCUUCAGAUUAACUUUCCUACAUGCUGGGCAAUCCUGAGUCUGUGCAGCGUGUGACAGAUUGCUGCUGUUAUGAGAGACAUUGGUGUACCGCGCAGAGAGAGGUGGUCAGCGAGCCUCUUGCACAGCAGUGGAACCAGCUGAGCCCAGUGCUGUCCGGCUCCAGUGCCGCUCACUGUCCCACUUCCAGCCCUGUUGAUAGCAGAACAGUUCAGUCAUUAGUAGGAAAAUGAAGCAUUCAGGGGCCAUAAAUGAUGGGUGUGUAGAAGAUAAUGCUGGAAGAGGUUGUGAUCCAGCUUUCACUUUUUUUCAACAUAACAGAAAUUGUUUAAGGUAAAUGUCUCUGUGCCAGAUGUGUUUACUAUGUUCAGUGUUUUUCUUAUUACCUGUAUUUAUCUCCUGCUAAAUCAUUACGCAAAUAAUUCUGAAAUAAAUCCACAGAACUAGAAUAUGAAUGAAAACAAGGAUGCAUUUAUUCUUCUGGCAAGUAUAAGUUCAGAG
RNAcentral lists this long non-coding RNA (1211 nucleotides) under Gallus gallus (chicken). RNAcentral describes it as "lncRNA (ENSGALG00010011385.1)". Lineage: Eukaryota; Metazoa; Chordata; Aves; Galliformes; Phasianidae. The record is from RNAcentral.